RNAcentral lists this ribosomal RNA (460 nucleotides) under uncultured bacterium. RNAcentral's name for it is "partial 16S ribosomal RNA". It matches the Rfam family "Bacterial small subunit ribosomal RNA", at positions 338 to 795 of the family's 1533-position model. The record is from RNAcentral.
CCUACGGGUGGCAGCAGUGAGGAAUAUUGGUCAAUGGACGCAAGUCUGAACCAGCCAUGUAGCGUGAAGGAUGACUGCUCUAUGGGUUGUAAACUUCUUUUAUAAAGGAAUAAAACGCGGCACGUGUGCCUUUUUGCAUGUACUUUAUGAAUAAGGAUCGGCUAACUCCGUGCCAGCAGCCGCGGUAAUACGGAGGAUCCGAGCGUUAUCCGGAUUUAUUGGGUUUAAAGGGAGCGUAGAUGGGUUGUUAAGUCAGUUGUGAAAGUUUGCGGCUCAACCGUAAAAUUGCAAUUGAUACUGGCAGUCUAGAGAACAGUUGAGGUAGGCGGAAUUCGUGGUGUAGCGGUGAAAUGCUUAGAGAUCACGAAGAACCCCGAUUGCGAAGGCAGCUUACUAAACUGUGACUGACAUUGAGGCUCGAAAGCGUGGGUAGCAAACAGGAUUAGAUACCCGAGUAGUC